This is a long non-coding RNA of Drosophila mojavensis, 326 nucleotides long. RefSeq lists it as uncharacterized. NCBI's taxonomy places the organism in Eukaryota, Metazoa, Arthropoda, Insecta, Diptera, Drosophilidae. The record is from RefSeq and is a predicted model, not a curated record. The transcript is spliced from 2 exons.
CUGAUUUUAUAAUCGAUAAGCCAGAUAUCGAUAGUUUUGGCGUCUUUUAAUUACCGAAUUUUCAGAAUUAAAUAUAUUUUGUAGAUUUAUUAAACUCGUAACAAUUGUAUUGUAUUUUAUUUUAAAGUUUUUAUAAUUCUUUACAGCUGAUUUAAACCAAAUCAGUACUGAAGCUUCAUAAGUAUUGUUAUUGCCCAACAGCUCCUUGGGAUCCACAUAGAUUAUGCCAUCCUUGCCACGAGCAUAUGGCGUCAAGCCAUUCGUUUGUAAGUAAAAAUCGCCAUGUAUACUAAGGAAACAAAUAAUAAGUUAAAUAUAUAAUUUAA